AUCCUUCAGAUUCCUGAGUCAUAAAACCCAAACACUGAUCUUAUAGAUUUUAAAAGGAGAAAAAGUAAAAUUGAAGCUGACUUAAUUUUCUUAUGACACACAAGCUAGUUUAAGAUUGUG
RNAcentral lists this small nucleolar RNA (120 nucleotides) under Echinops telfairi (small Madagascar hedgehog). RNAcentral describes it as "Small nucleolar RNA SNORA61 (ENSETEG00000026849.1)". The record is from RNAcentral. Lineage: Eukaryota; Metazoa; Chordata; Mammalia; Afrosoricida; Tenrecidae.